UUUCCGUAGGUGAACCUGCGGAAGGAUCAUUAUUGGAUUUUGAAACUUCAGGCUGCUGCUGGCUCUCCUCGGAGGGCAUGUGCACGCUUGUUGUCCAUUAUUUCUCCCACUGUGCACAAAUUGUAGACCUUUCAGUAGGCCUAUGUUGUUUUUCACAAUCUCUGAAUGUAAUAGAAUGGUUUUGAAUCUUGGGAAAUACAAUACAACUUUCAACAACGGAUCUCUUGGUUCUG
This 233-nucleotide unclassified non-coding RNA is filed under the name plant metagenome. RNAcentral's name for it is "partial contains small subunit ribosomal RNA, internal transcribed spacer 1, and 5.8S ribosomal RNA". The record is from RNAcentral.